RNAcentral lists this long non-coding RNA (1173 nucleotides) under Homo sapiens (human). Its description in RNAcentral is "HSALNT0175559". The record is from RNAcentral. Lineage: Eukaryota; Metazoa; Chordata; Mammalia; Primates; Hominidae.
UGAUGCCAAAAAGGUUGGGGACUGCUGUUAUAUGAUGUUCUUCAGUUUGGCUGGUCCUGAUGAUUUUCUCAUGGUUAGACAGGGGUUGCAGAUGUCUGGGAGAAAGAACACAGAGGCCAAAUGCCACUCUCAUCACAUCAUAUCAAAUGCUUGGAUUACCUGGAUGCUUUCUGGAGAGCGUGAGUCCUGAAGAAGAUUCCACAGCUAUACUGACUCCUACAAUAUGACUAGAAGAGGUUAACCUCUGGCUUCUGCUGGGAAAUAAGUUUCUAUUCUUGCAGUCCCAUGCAUGCAAGAUGAGUCUGAAGUGUGACACAUAAGUACUGGAAGGAGAUAUUGGAUCUGAAGGGAUCGUGUAGGUGAGAAUGAAGGAACUUUCAAUGGCCUGAUGACAAAAUUGGAUGAUGGAGUUCUCACGGGAUGCAUAGUAGUCAGGAAACCUAUGUUGGGUUCAUCUGCAAAUCAUGCCAACUUGACCUUCAACGUUUUUCAAACUUCUCACCAUGACCACCAUUACCAUUCUAAGUCAUGUCUUCAUUCUUUCUCUCAUGGGGCUAUUAUAGUAGGCUCUGAAUUGCUGCCUGGUUUUUGUCCUUACACCUCUUCUGCUCCUUGAAGGCCUCCAAAUGUGCCACAUCUUACUCAGUGUGAAAGCUAAAAGCUGUGCAGUGGUCCACAAAGUUGCGAUGAACUGGCCCCAUGACCCUACCAUCUCUCUGAACUCAACUACAGGCACUUCCUCUCUCUUACUUGCUUCUUCUCACUUAGUCCCAAGGGCCUCCUUGCUGUUUCUUUGACCUUGUGGACACAUCCCCAUCUCAGGGCCUUUGCAUAUCUGAUUUGUGAAUUGAGAUUUGUAUACCGACAUACACAUUUUGCUAGUUUCAACAAUUUUAAGAUAUCUAGGAUCUACCUCCAGAAAUGGGCAAAACAAAAAACAAAAGAAUAACUCCCAGCAGCUGUAAUAGCACAUUAAGUAAACAAAUAAAAACCAACUUGAUAUAUCGAAUAAUAUUUUCCAUUUUAUUCCAGCUUUUUGAAUAAGUAUGCACAGUCCGAAGCAGCUUCAAAGAUUUCAGUCAUUUUUAGGAAGUCAUGUCUUCAGAGAGUAAAAAAUGAAUUAUUUUCUUUUUUUUUAAUGCUUUUUUUUAAUUAUUAUACUUUAAGUUUUAG